RNAcentral lists this unclassified non-coding RNA (503 nucleotides) under Hevea brasiliensis (rubber tree). Lineage: Eukaryota; Viridiplantae; Streptophyta; Magnoliopsida; Malpighiales; Euphorbiaceae. The record is from RNAcentral.
GAAUUGCAUUUCCACAAUGAGGAACACUAGGGCACCAUUUAACCCUCUUGUUAUCAUCAAUAUAUGACUCUAACAGAAAACGAUCAAAUUUCUCUGCUAAAGCAGGAUCUCUUGCAGUGACGAGAUCCCUAAUCUUUCCUUCAUCACAGAUCACAUUGCACUUUUGGGCCAUGCAAGUUACUUGUUUACUCUGACCCUCAUUUAUUUUUACAAUGAAAUGAGUUGUCCAACAUUCAUUGCAAAAUAUAUGGUUGCAGUCCAUUACAGUGGUCUUCUCAACAGGGGCAUCUUCGAAGCAAAUUUGACACGUCACUUCAGAUGUCGACAGAGUGGAAGUAUGUUCCUCUUUCCCUUCCAGUGUCACACCCGCUUCAGCAUAUAACAUUUCUGUCCCUCUCUCAACAAGAACCGCAAAGACCUUGUCAACUUCCCAUCGGUAAUGAAUAAGCAAGCUUCGAGCAUGAUGUUCCUUCAGAGAUAGCAAGUCCAUCACUCUUUGCAAG